CAGCGAAAUGCGAUACCUAGUGUGAAUUGCAGAAUUCCGCGAAUCAUCGAGUCUUUGAACGCAAGUUGCGCCCGAGGCUUGUCCCGAGGGCAUGCCUGCCUGAGCGUCACCGCACUCUCACCCGACGAUCUUUCGUCGCGCGUGGAUUUGGCCGUCCGGGAUCGGGCGUCGAUGCCUGGCGUCGCGGUCGGCUGAAAUGGAGCGUUCUGGACGAAGCCGGAGACGGGGACUGCGAGAAGGUGAUCCGCUCCACGAGCGGAGUCUAUUUUGACAGCGUCCCUCGUCCCGGAAGGUCCCAUGGAACUCGGAGCGGGAGCUGGCCCGAUCGAUCGUUCGCGCGAUCGAUCGGGCCAGUAGCACCACGGCUUGGACCUCAGAUCAGGCAAGAUUACCCGCUGAGUUUAAGCAUAUCAAU
This 415-nucleotide ribosomal RNA is filed under the name Metzgeria leptoneura. RNAcentral describes it as "eukaryotic LSU rRNA". The stretch from base 1 to 109 matches the Rfam family "5.8S ribosomal RNA", at positions 46 to 154 of the family's 154-position model. The record is from RNAcentral. Lineage: Eukaryota; Viridiplantae; Streptophyta; Jungermanniopsida; Metzgeriales; Metzgeriaceae.